GACGAACGCUGGCGGCGUGCCUAAUACAUGCAAGUAGAACGCACAGUUUAUACCUUAGCUUGCUACACCAUAGACUGUGAGUUGCGAACGGGUGAGUAACGCGUAGGUAACCUGCCGGGUAGCGGGGGAUAACUAUUGGAAACGAUAGCUAAGACCGCAUAAUAUUGAUUAUUGCUUGAUAAUUGAUUGAAGGAGGCUAUUGCAUCACUACCUGAUGGACCUUCGUUGUAUUAGUUAGUAGGUGAGGUAACGGCUCACCUAGGCGACGAUACAGAGCCGAACUGAGAUGACGAUCGGCCAGCCUGGGAGUGUGACCGGCCCCAGUCGCCCACGGGAGCGAGCAGUAGGGAUACGUGGGCAAGGGGCGAGAGACUGAGCGAGAUAGGCGGAGUGAGUGAGGAAGGUCGUCGGAUCGUAAAGGUCUGUUGUAAGGGAAGAAAGGGCGUGCGCGUGGAAAGUUCACAGUGUGACGGUAUCUGAUCAGAAAGCAACGGCUAACUACGUG
This 505-nucleotide ribosomal RNA is filed under the name uncultured bacterium. RNAcentral describes it as "partial 16S ribosomal RNA". It matches the Rfam family "Bacterial small subunit ribosomal RNA", at positions 28 to 507 of the family's 1533-position model. The record is from RNAcentral.